RNAcentral lists this ribosomal RNA (459 nucleotides) under uncultured bacterium. RNAcentral describes it as "partial 16S ribosomal RNA". It matches the Rfam family "Bacterial small subunit ribosomal RNA", at positions 338 to 795 of the family's 1533-position model. The record is from RNAcentral.
CCUACGGGAGGCAGCAGUGAGGAAUAUUGGUCAAUGGGCGGGAGCCUGAACCAGCCAAGCCGCGUGAGGGAAGAAGGUACAGCGUAUCGUAAACCUCUUUUGUCAGGGAACAAAGGCGGGGACUAGUCCCCGGAUGAGGGUACCUGAAGAAAAAGAAUCGGCGAACUCCGUGCCAGCAGCCGCGUUAAUACGGGGGAGGCGAGCGUUCUACGGCUUUAUUGGGUUAAAAGGGUGCGCAGGCGGCCUGUUAAGUAUGCGGUAAAAGCCCGGGGCUCAACCCCGGGGAGCCGUUGAAACUGGAGGGCUGGAGUUGGAGAGAAGGACGCGGAAUGCGCGGUGUAGCGGUGAAAUGCUUAGAUAUCGCGCAGAACCCCGAUUGCGAAGGCAGCGUACCGGCUCCACACUGACGCUGAGGCACGAAAGCGUGGGUAUCGAACAGGAUUAGAUACCCUUGUAGUC